This is a long non-coding RNA of Trifolium pratense (red clover), 697 nucleotides long. RefSeq lists it as uncharacterized. The record is from RefSeq and is a predicted model, not a curated record. NCBI's taxonomy places the organism in Eukaryota, Viridiplantae, Streptophyta, Magnoliopsida, Fabales, Fabaceae. The transcript is spliced from 2 exons.
UGUGACCAUGUAAAAACAUCUCUUUUUAAAGUAUGCGAAAGGUACUAUAGGAAUUUUCAAGCAAUAUAAAGAUAAGAUAGAAUCUUAUGCGAUUAGCCGAUUACUGUACUCUCAUAUGCCCCGCGGCCGGGUUCAAGAUACAAGACAUUUUAAAAAAUUAAAUAUCUCCAUCAACAAUUACUUAAUUAAUUAAUUUAUGAUUUUUAUAUCUAAGCUCGUGUUCCUUCUUCUCAAUUAAAUAAGGAAGGAUAUUAGUAGCAGUGAUAGUAUAUGGACAUCUCUCUAUAAAUUGUUGCAUGCAAGAAUGAACUGAUACAAGACAAAUUGAAUAUAAUUAAGCUGUUAACAAACAAACAAUUCUAGUUGUUUCUUUCUUUUGAUCAAACAAUGGCUUAUGUUAAGCUCGCUAUUUUCGCUGUCUUCCUGCUUACCGCAUUCCUAAUAUUCCCGAUGAAAAAUGCAAAAGAAAGUUGUCCGGUCGUGGGUCGUCAUUGUUCAUUUUCACAAUAUGUUGAGGGGACACCAUGCGGCAAUGGAGGUUGUCGUUGUAUACCAUGGACAAUGGGAUUAUGUGUGGGUUUUUGCGUAGAUCUGUAAUGAAUUAUAUAUAGGCCCCAGAGAAUAUAAUAAUCCAAGUUGCAUUAGUUAAGUUAUGUGAUUAAUCAUAUUUUAGAAGGAUCUAGAUGAAUUGAAUUGA